UACGUAGGGUGCAAGCGUUAAUCGGAAUUACUGGGCGUAAAGCGUGCGCAGGCGGUUUUGUAAGACUGUCGUGAAAUCCCCGGGCUUAACCUGGGAAUGGCGAUGGUGACUGCAAGGCUAGAGUUUGGCAGAGGGGGGUAGAAUUCCACGUGUAGCAGUGAAAUGCGUAGAGAUGCGGAGGAACACCGAUGGCGAAGGCAGCCCCCUGGGCCAACACUGACGCUCAGGCACGAAAGCGUGGGGAGCAAACAGG
This 253-nucleotide ribosomal RNA is filed under the name uncultured bacterium. RNAcentral's name for it is "partial 16S ribosomal RNA". It matches the Rfam family "Bacterial small subunit ribosomal RNA", at positions 524 to 776 of the family's 1533-position model. The record is from RNAcentral.